Molecule: transfer RNA, 98 nt
Filed under: Planctomycetia bacterium
Lineage: Bacteria; Pseudomonadati; Planctomycetota; Planctomycetia
Description: tRNA-Sec
Rfam family: Selenocysteine transfer RNA
Source: RNAcentral
GGGAGCGUGUGUGCCGCUGGUGCGGGCCCUGGUCUUCAAAACCAGAGGGUGUCUUGAAGAAAGUCAUCGGUGGGUUCGAUUCCCAUACGCUCCCGCCA